CCUACGGGGGGCAGCAGUGGGGGAUAUUGCACAAUGGGGGAAACCCUGAUGCAGCGACGCCGCGUGGGCGAAGAAGUAUUUCGGUAUGUAAAGCCCUAUCAGCAGGGAAGAAGAAAUGACGGUACCUGAGUAAGAAGCACCGGCUAAAUACGUGCCAGCAGCCGCGGUAAUACGUAUGGUGCAAGCGUUACCCGGAUUUACUGGGUGUAAAGGGAGCGCAGGCGGCACGGCAAGCCUGAUGUGAAAGCCCGCGGCCCAACCGCGGGACUGCAUUGGGAACUACCGGGCUGGAGUGCCGGGGAGGUAGGCGGAAUUCCUGGUGUAGCGGUGAAAUGCGUAGAUAUUAGGAGGAACACCAGUGGCGAAGGCAGCCUACUGGACGGUGACUGACGCUGAGGCUCGAAGGCGUGGGGAGCAAACAGGAUUAGAUACCCGGGUAGUC
RNAcentral lists this ribosomal RNA (442 nucleotides) under uncultured bacterium. RNAcentral's name for it is "partial 16S ribosomal RNA". It matches the Rfam family "Bacterial small subunit ribosomal RNA", at positions 338 to 795 of the family's 1533-position model. The record is from RNAcentral.